RNAcentral lists this long non-coding RNA (1527 nucleotides) under Monodelphis domestica (gray short-tailed opossum). Its description in RNAcentral is "lncRNA (ENSMODG00000045370.1)". Lineage: Eukaryota; Metazoa; Chordata; Mammalia; Didelphimorphia; Didelphidae. The record is from RNAcentral.
CACACUGUGACUAAAGAGACUCAAUGCGGAACGGACACAUCUACACAAGCAGUCACAAUAAAAGCCUCCAGGGAUUCUGCUUGCCUUGAGUGCUAUGGCCUGCAUUGCGUCGAAAGUGGUCAUUUGCAAUGUUAAAUCCCCAGGGAAGGUCGCAGCUGGGUAGUUUCCCUUGUUCGAGGCUCUGAAUUGUGAUGGGCUGGGGGUUGGUGGGAAGUAGGGGGGUGUUUGUUAAAGGAGAAGGAUGGCUGACAAGGGUGAGAAACUCACUCCUCUGCACCCCCCAUCCCCCGCCCACUUCUCUAUCCUCCAGCUCCUUCCUCCUCCCCCCUCCCCAUCCCACGACCCUGGCGGGCCAAUCCCCGCUCUGCACCAGAGGCGCCUCCUCGGGUUUCUGCUGAUCUUGCAGGGUCCAGAAAUGGACCGCGCCGCCGCUCUGCCGUUGCCACCGCCGCCGCUGCUGUCACUACCGCAAUAGUCCCGCUUGACUCCGAGGCUCCCCAAGCCCCCAGUGUCCAGAGGAGCUGCCUGGAGGACUAAGCUAGGCUGAGGCGGGGUGGAGAUGCUAGAGUAGCUAUGUAGACCCUAGGGCGGCUCUCUCUUGCCGCCCACUGCCUGGAUUCAUCCCUUCAGAAGCGAAGCAGAGACUCUUGGAGUGAGAUUUUUGGGGAAAUUUUAAUUUUAUUUUAAUUCCAGGGCUUUUGGAGAGAUAUUCUCCUCCCUCCUCCUUCCUCUCCCCUUUCAAUCUCUAAUAAUCCUAGUAACUCGGAAUUGGAGAGUGUCCUAUCUUUCUUCCUUUCUGUAUAAUCCUUCGGGUUAUUGUUUGGAAUGGGGGUGGGUAGAAAUAUUUCGGCAGCAGCGGCCCUAUAAAGCGAUCUUGGCCAGGAGAGGAGCGCAGGAGGACAGAGCUGGAGGCUGAGUUUGCCACUGCGCCUUUUGGAUGCUGCUGUUGCUACCGCCGCCGCCAAGGAGACUUGCCGCAUUCCAACAGGAACUCUUCUUCCCACUCAACAUCGCCACUGACGCCUGCCCAGACACCAGUCCAGCAUCCAUCGAUCGCCCUGGUGGGAGCUUAAAAAGCAGCAGAAGAGGGGUAGGAGGGAGGAUAGACCAGAGAAAGAGGGAGAAAUGGAAGGCAGGGGAAUCUGCUGAGCUGACACGGCACCCAGUCCUGUUUUUAUGACGAUUUAGGGUGGGGGUAAAGGGGUGACCCCCUCCCCAAAGGCAAUGUCGAAGUUUGCCAGAACAGCAUUACCUUGAGAGGAAAGAAAAACAACUCCCUCCCCCAUCCCACAACAGAACAGGAGCCAGGUGCUACUGGAAAGGGGGAUUCCAAUUUGGGAAAAGACUAGGUGGGAGUGAGAGAAGUAAAUUGAUAGAGUCCAGAUUAGUUUCCCUCCUGCUCUUUGGAUAUUCUCCCCAAGGAAUUGUGGAUUCAAACACUUUAGGUGGGGGUCGGGGCAUUUGGUUACCCUCCCCCACCUCCUUCCAACAUCUUCACCACCCCAGUUCCCCCUCUCUGCUCCACAC